This is a non-coding RNA of Aegilops tauschii subsp. strangulata, 1755 nucleotides long. NCBI's taxonomy places the organism in Eukaryota, Viridiplantae, Streptophyta, Magnoliopsida, Poales, Poaceae. The record is from RefSeq and is a predicted model, not a curated record.
CCCGCCUUCCUCCCCCUCACGCGAUUCCCACCGUCGCCACCCCCACCCACCACCGCCGACCUCGUCUCCGCCACGCACCCUCUCCCCUCGCUUUCAUCCCCCAGAUCCACCAGUCUGCUUCUCGGCCAUGGCGUCACGGCCGGUUUUCUCGCCGGCGCGCGCGUGCGUGCUUCGAUGCGCGCCGCUCCGUCGAGCUGGCCAGACCGUGGCGCGCGCGUGGACUGUGUAUCCGCUACCAAAUCUCCCCUCCGCUCCCGAAUCAAAUCCCCAUCACCUCCGCCACCACCCCACCUACUCCCACCGCCGUCGCGAGCCACGUGCGCGAGCGGCGAUGGCCAAUCCUCUGCUUCUCCUCCAUUCAUCGUGCACGCCCUGGGACGACGCCGGCCGACAGAUCUAGGGCGACGACGAACCCUAGCUGCAACGGCUUAUUGGUGCGGCUGCGGCGCAUCUGAUACUCGCCCCGAGCUCCCUCCUCCUCCGUUGCUGUGGCAGCCUUGGGACGAUAUUCGCCGCCUGUGACCGCUGUGUUGGGAACCGGUCCGGCCAAGGGGAAGCUGGGUUCCCAGCCAACGCAGCGUCCGGCGAAGCGGCUCUGCCUGCGGCCCGAUUGCGCUCACAACGUCCCCGUCACCAAGUUCAAUCAAAAGACUGGCAAGCCUCUCAAGUGUAAAGAAAAUGGCACGCUCUCAAGUCGAUGUAUACAGAGCGGUGUAUGCAUGUGCCAAACUGAAACCAUAUGUGUUACGUGGUGAAUUCUUGCUCCGCUCGGAAGGAGUUGUCAUUGCCGUGGGAGUCUCUGACCUCUUCUUCUACUACCUAUUGCUGCUGCUGCUGGGUGUCUGUAGCUACAGGGGAAUCCACUGUAGUCCUACUUGCGAACUCAACGAAACUGCAGCACAAUUUGAAUAUAGCACCUGACACUGAUGUAAAAGCCGCAAGAACCACUGUAAAGAAUUGACGUGCCCUUUAGCUUGUUGAUUCAUGCUAAUCCACCCAGUUAUUCUGUGUCUACUUCAGUUGCAAAGAUGUCCAUGGAGAAGAUGGCCAUUGGACUGUAGGGGAGCGAGAGGGCUGUCACCAAGAAGGAAGGCAUUGACUUUGCCAAGGAGUAUGGAUGUCUAUCUGGAAUGCAGCGCAAAGACCAAAGUGAAUGUUUAGUAGUGGUUUGAAGAGGUUGUACUGAAGGAAUCAAUGAUGCCGACCUCCUUGCAGAGUUGUGCCAGGUACCAAAUGAUGACCUACUCGCACAGUUGUGACAGACUUUACCCCUUGCUAGAUCCUUCGGUGGAGGUGACCCAUGUGAUGGUGAUUCGCUCCAGUAGUUUCGGUCUGGCAGUGGUGGUGCUACACUGCUACUGCUCCUAUGAUGGCUACGCAUUGGUAGGCUCGGCUGCCUCCCUUUGCUGUCGCUGUGAUGGUGAAGCUCAGCCUAGGCUACAACCACUUCCGAUGAGCUCCUCAGAUCAGGAUCUAAUGUUGUUGGGGUGGCUGUUGUUGUGACCAUGAUCAGAAGAAGCCUGGAGAUGUGCACAAUAGUUUUAGUUGAUGUUGCCACCAUGUUUUGGUGCAUGUGUAUUUCUUUUUGAUUGUAUGCAAACUUGAUGGAUCAUGCAGACGUGUAUGUGCUGUUGUGAGUUUCAUUGAGUGAUUUCUGGAUUUGAUCAUUUAAUUGAGAGAAUUAUUGAUUGUUUGUUGUUGAAAUGUGUAAAAGAAAUCUGUGAAUGAAAAGGCUGAAUGUUCUAUUGGAUCAAA